CGCCUACCUCAAAGAGAAAUGCAGGAUUCGUCCAAAAAGCUUCGCUGUAGGUUUCGCUGUAGUGUAGGUCAAAUUCUAUCAACUCUUCCACCUGUAGAUAUUUGAAGAAAACACAACCAUAAGAUCAGCUGUUUGUUUUUCAAGUCAUGAGACUAAACUGUUUGUUCCCGUUAACGCAUUUGUAUUGAAGUGAACAGUUUGAAGGAUCUAUGCUUUGUGCUCAUACGUCCGGGUCGGAUAGUGAACACUUGGUCAAAAUGACAGGUCGGCAGAGUGGCUUGUAAAGUAGUUAAUAUCGAUGAAAGAUUGUAUGGCUUAGUAUAUACUGCAUGACACAGUUUCUGAAUUUUCCGCUUCAAAUUUGGUGCGAUUUAUAUUUUAAACGUUCGGUAACUACAUGGGGAUAACCAUUUAAUAUAUCGUAUGAUGUAAAGUUUCUGCAUUAUGUGCGAUAAAAUAUAUACCUGUGAUGACUU
Paramuricea clavata is the source of this 476-nucleotide non-coding RNA. The record is from the annotation of a GenBank genome assembly. NCBI's taxonomy places the organism in Eukaryota, Metazoa, Cnidaria, Anthozoa, Malacalcyonacea, Plexauridae.